UACAGAGGGUGCAAGCGUUAAUCGGAAUUACUGGGCGUAAAGCGUGCGUAGACGGUUACAUAAGUCGGGUGUGAAAGCCCCGGGCUCAACCUGGGAAUUGCAUUCGAGACUGCGUAGCUAGGGUGCGGAAGAGGGAAGCGGAAUUUCCGGUGUAGCGGUGAAAUGCGUAGAUAUCGGAAGGAACACCAGUGGCGAAAGCGGCUUCCUGGUCCAGCACCGACGUUCAGGCACGAAAGCGUGGGGAGCAAACGGG
Molecule: ribosomal RNA, 253 nt
Filed under: uncultured bacterium
Lineage: Bacteria
Description: partial 16S ribosomal RNA
Rfam family: Bacterial small subunit ribosomal RNA
Source: RNAcentral